CAACGGCUGAUCUCCCCGUUGGUUAGGUGGCUUCCCAGGCUUACAUUCAACUAGAUCUUAGAGUCACAGACACUUCUGGUUGCACAAUGGUUAACCAGGUCUCAGUGGACACUGAAUUUUGCAGCAGAUACCAUGAAACAUAUGGAUACAGCAAGAAUGUGGCAGUCUGUAAACCAGGAAGAAAUCCCUUACAGGGGAACCAAAUUGGCCAUCACCUUGAUCUUGGACUUCCUGGCCUCU
Molecule: non-coding RNA, 240 nt
Organism: Sus scrofa (pig)
Lineage: Eukaryota; Metazoa; Chordata; Mammalia; Artiodactyla; Suidae
Source: RefSeq, a predicted model, not a curated record